AAGUCGUAACAAGGUUUCGAUGGUCCCUCCACGAGGGGGGUUUUCUACGGAGACCUAGCACCCGCCCGCCGGCGGUGCGCCCGGCGACUCUAAACAACACAGGUGCGCUUAAAUGCUAGUUGAGUCGGGGGGCACUAGCGCCUCCCCGGCUCAGCGAUACCACCAAACUGCGGGGACUUCUUCCGGGCUUCAAGGAUACCAAGCGCCCCUAGACAAUAGGGUCGUGGCCGGGCUCAAAACUCCCGGGUACGGUAAAAACUCCUCGUAGCAGGCCCUUUUUUGGGCCCGAAGGAAAUCCGCAGCAGACGCCCCCAAUCUUCCGGGCCUCUGUUCACAGACUAGAUGGUGGUAGGUAGAUAUUUUACCUAAGAUAUAGUCGGCUUCGGGGUUCAAAGCCCGAAAUCAAUCGCGUCCGUAGGUGAACCUGCGGAAGGAUCAUUACCGAGAUGGGGUCCCUUCGGGGCCCGACCUCCAACCCUUUAUCUACCUUACCUCUGUUGCCUCGGCGGGACGUCGGCGUUUAGGCGUCGCCGUCGGCUCUCGGGCUCUCGAGCGCCGCCGAAGGGCCAUUUCCAAACUCCUCUCAACAAAGCAACUGAGUGAAUUAUUCAAUACUUCAAAA
RNAcentral lists this unclassified non-coding RNA (622 nucleotides) under plant metagenome. RNAcentral describes it as "partial contains small subunit ribosomal RNA and internal transcribed spacer 1". The record is from RNAcentral.